GCCCGUCUAGCUCACCGGUAGAGCGCCUCACUAGUAAGGCAUAUUCCAGUUGCAAUGAGGAGGCAACAGGUUCGACUCCUGUGAUGGGCA
Non-coding RNA from Rostrohypoxylon terebratum, 90 nucleotides. NCBI's taxonomy places the organism in Eukaryota, Fungi, Ascomycota, Sordariomycetes, Xylariales, Hypoxylaceae. The record is from the annotation of a GenBank genome assembly.